This 468-nucleotide ribosomal RNA is filed under the name uncultured bacterium. Its description in RNAcentral is "partial 16S ribosomal RNA". It matches the Rfam family "Bacterial small subunit ribosomal RNA", at positions 28 to 507 of the family's 1533-position model. The record is from RNAcentral.
GACGAACGCUGGCGGCGUGCUUAACACAUGCAAGUCGAACGGAAAGGCCCUGCUUUUGUGGGGUGCUCGAGUGGCGAACGGGUGAGUAACACGUGAGUAACCUGCCCUUGACUUUGUGAUAACUUCAGGAAACUGGGGCUAAUACCGGAUAGGAGCUCCUGCUGCAUGGUGGGGGUUGGAAAGUUUCGGCGGUUGGGGAUGGACUCGCGGCUUAUCAGCUUGUUGGUGUGGUAGUGGCUUACCAAGGCUUUGACGGGUAGCCGGCCUGAGAGGGUGACCGGCCACAUUGGGACUGAGAUACGGCCCAGACUCCUACGGGAGGCAGCAGUGGGGAAUAUUGCACAAUGGGCGGAAGCCUGAUGCAGCAACGCCGCGUGCGGGAUGACGGCCUUCGGGUUGUAAACCGCUUUCGCCUGUGACGAAGCGUGAGUGACGGUAAUGGGUAAAGAAGCACCGGCUAACUACGUG